CCUGUUCAAAAAAAUGAUGCUUCAACUAUAAAAAGUGCAAUUGAGGAAACAUUUCAAAUAAAUCUUCAGCUUAGCUUGGCAAGCCAAGACUGGUCAAGAAAAUUAGUUGGAUUUGGAAGCGAGGAGACAGAUGUAAUGACUGGUCAAAAUAAUGGGGUAGCUAAUCUCAUGAGGGAAAUUCAACCUUGUGUGCAGUCUGUGCAUUGUUUUGCUCACCGCCUAAGGCUGGCAUACAAGGGAGCACUGGAAAACAUUCAGCUAUACAGCUUAACCAAUGGCUUGAGAAGUAUGUACUACUUUUAUCAUAACUCAACUCUAAAUAAGAAGAAUCUCAAAGCUAUAUAUGAAGCCAUCAAGUUACAUCCAGCUAUUCCAUCUUGCACUGGGGGCUCCCAGUGGUUUUCUCGCCUACAGACAGCUCUACAAAUUCUCCUUAAAGGUCAUCCUGCAUUUGUUCUACAUCUGGAUAAGACUAAAAGAGAUUCAAGGUCCUCAAAUAGGCAG
This 504-nucleotide long non-coding RNA is filed under the name Gallus gallus (chicken). RNAcentral's name for it is "long non-coding RNA NONGGAT011676". Lineage: Eukaryota; Metazoa; Chordata; Aves; Galliformes; Phasianidae. The record is from RNAcentral.